Molecule: long non-coding RNA, 330 nt
Filed under: Phoenix dactylifera (date palm)
Lineage: Eukaryota; Viridiplantae; Streptophyta; Magnoliopsida; Arecales; Arecaceae
Description: long non-coding RNA (PDAC_LNC013850)
Source: RNAcentral
AGCGCCUUUAUUUUUGCUUUCAUUGGUGUUAUCUGGGGACAAGAUAUAUGCUUCUUUUGAACCUUUUUGUGCCUGAUGAGUAUGUUUCUCAUGCUGAAAUUAUGGAAGUUGGAUCCAUUAGAGAUGACGAAUUCUGAAGAUGGUGCUUUAUACCUAUCAACAGAUAUUGCAACUUUUUGUGGUAGAACUUCCUUUAAUGUGGGUUCAUUAACUUUAAUUUGAGUAUCUAUCGCUCUUAAGUUCUUUUGCUAAAGGAUAAAUUAUUGAUACACGUGAGGAUUUUUAGUUUUUUGCUAAAUAGGUAGAUUUACUGGUCUACAAUGCCUACUU